AACGUCCUGCCUUUCCCGAAGCCUUGCGUUUAUACGUGGGGUAUUGAUGUAGAGAAGGUGGGACGUU
The submitters of this non-coding RNA (67 nucleotides) gave its source as unclassified sequences. The record is from Rfam.